AUGGGUAUGUGUAUUUUGCCCCCGCGUCGCCUCCCCUACGGGCGACACGGGAGGCGGAAACCGCUGGCGUCGCCCACUCCUCCCCCCUCCUCCCUCUGCCGCCUCGCCGCGCGGCCGCAAGGACGGCGGUGGCGGGGCUUCACCCUUGUCUUCGUCUCUCUCUCCCGUCACGGUGGGGGGCCGCGCGUGGGACGCGCGAAGACCGCCCAGAUCCAGGCCACCACGGCCGGAUCUAGCGGGGAGGCCGCCGGUGGCGGGUCGAUGGCGGCGGGGAUGGAGGUGGCGGCGAGGUUGGCGACGGAGGCCGGAUCUGGCGGCGAGGCUGGCAUCGGCGACCAGAUCCAGGCGUUGGAGAUGGUUUUGCCCCGGUGGCGGUUGCGACGGCAGCGGAGAGCUCGGCGACGGCGUUGGGGCGGUUGCGUUGGUGGUGCCGGCGGUUUGCGACGACGACUGCUGGCGUCGAUGGCUGGUGACAGUGGCAUCAGCGACGGCGGCCGACUUGCAGCGGCUGUGACUGAGGAUACGGUGGCGACGUCGAAGGAUGCGGCAGUGGAGGCGGGGAAGGAGUUGGGUGUGAGGUGACAGCGGCGAC
RNAcentral lists this long non-coding RNA (592 nucleotides) under Oryza sativa Indica Group (long-grained rice). RNAcentral describes it as "lncRNA OsMH63_01G046160". Lineage: Eukaryota; Viridiplantae; Streptophyta; Magnoliopsida; Poales; Poaceae. The record is from RNAcentral.